This is a long non-coding RNA of Helianthus annuus (common sunflower), 542 nucleotides long. RefSeq lists it as uncharacterized. NCBI's taxonomy places the organism in Eukaryota, Viridiplantae, Streptophyta, Magnoliopsida, Asterales, Asteraceae. The transcript is spliced from 2 exons. The record is from RefSeq and is a predicted model, not a curated record.
CUUCUUCUUCGAUUGGGGUCCACUUAAUCGCCUUCGGUUUCGACGUUUGAUCACCCACUACUUGUUUGCCUUUGUUUCGUUUUCCUUUCCCUUUAGGCGGUUGGGUUUCGGGCACAAUCUCCACAUCGUCUUCGGGUUCGGAUUGGGUCGAGAUCGGUUGAGGUUGAACGGGUGGGAAGUUCCAAGCACCCCGCAUCAUCAUUUGUUGAAGAGCUUGAUUUUGGGAGAUUUGAGUGAAUUGGUUUGGCGAGUGUUGGAAUGAAGCAAACGCGUUCGAUGAAUAUUGGGAGAAUUGGUUCGGUUCUAGCGUUGGAUAAUAUCCCGGAACCGAAAAAACAUUUGGUUGGGUCGGAUUGUUGGGAGUAUUCGGGUUGUUCGAAGUGUUCGGGUUCUCCGGGUUGUUGAACGGAUCCAUGAAAAUUAUGUGGAAGAAGGUUGAGAGAAUAGUGGAAGGAGUGUAAAAAUUAUAUGAGAAAGAGGUGAAUUGUUGAGGUUAAUUUGGUGUUUGAUAGUGAAAAUGGAAGUAAUAUUUAUAUAUUUUA